RNAcentral lists this unclassified non-coding RNA (377 nucleotides) under uncultured Euzebyaceae bacterium. RNAcentral describes it as "contains 16S-23S intergenic spacer region". The record is from RNAcentral. Lineage: Bacteria; Bacillati; Actinomycetota; Nitriliruptoria; Euzebyales; Euzebyaceae.
UCCGAUUUGUCACCGGCAGUCUCCCUAGAGUCCCCGACAUAACUCGCUGGCAACUAGGGACAGGGGUUGCGCUCGUUGCGGGACUUAACCCAACACCUCACGGCGCGAGCUGACGACAACCAUGCACCACCUGUGCACGGCCCCGAAGGACACCGCAUCUCUGCGGCUUUUCCGUGCAUUUCAAGCCUUGGUAAGGUUCUUCGCGUUGCGUCGAAUUAAGCCACAUGCUCCGCCGCUUGUGCGGGCUCCCGUCAAUUCCUUUGAGUUUUAACCUUGCGGUCGUAAUCCCCAGGCGGGGUGCUUAAUGCGUUAGCUUCGGCACGGAGGGAGUGGAUAACCCCCCACACCUAGCACCCAUCGUUUACGGCGUGGACUAC